AUUGAACGCUGGCGGCAGGCCUAACACAUGCAAGUCGAGCGAGCGGCGGACGGGUGAGUAAUGUAUGGAGCUCCGUCCUAUAGAGGGGGAUAACUACGGGAAACGAUCGCUAACCCCGCAUUCUCUCGUAUGAACCCAUAUGGGAUUAGCUAGUAGGUGGGGUAACGGCUCACCUAGGCGACGAUCUCUAGCUGGUCUGAGAGGAUGAUCAGCCACACUGGGACUGAGACACGGCCCAGACUCCUACGGGAGGCAGCAGUGGGGAAUAUUGCACAAUGGGCGCAAGCCUGAUGCAGCCAUGCCGCGUGUAUGAAGAAGGCCUUAGGGUUGUAAAGCACUUUCAGCGGGGAGGCGUUACCCGCAGAAGAAGCACCGGCUAACUCCGUGCCAGCAGCCGCGGUAAUAC
Molecule: ribosomal RNA, 406 nt
Filed under: uncultured bacterium
Lineage: Bacteria
Description: partial 16S ribosomal RNA
Rfam family: Bacterial small subunit ribosomal RNA
Source: RNAcentral